This 226-nucleotide unclassified non-coding RNA is filed under the name fungal sp. RNAcentral's name for it is "partial internal transcribed spacer region". The stretch from base 1 to 46 matches the Rfam family "Eukaryotic small subunit ribosomal RNA", at positions 1786 to 1831 of the family's 1831-position model. Lineage: Eukaryota; Fungi. The record is from RNAcentral.
AAGUCGUAACAAGGUCUCCGUUGGUGAACCAGCGGAGGGAUCAUUACAGAGUGUAAAAACUCCUAAACCCUUUGUGAACAUACCACUGUUGCCUCGGCGGAGCUACCCGGUAGCUACCCUGUAGCUACCCUGUAGCCGCCGGCGGACCAUUCAACUCUGAUUAUGUAGAUAUCUGAGCGUACUUUUAAAUAAGUCAAAACUUUCAACAACGGAUCUCUUGGUUCUG